CCUACGGGAGGCUGCAGUGGGGAAUAUUGGACAAUGGGGGAAACCCUGAUCCAGCAAUGCCGCGUGUGUGAAGAAGGCCUGCGGGUUGUAAAGCACUUUCGGUUGGGAAGAAAAGUUUGGCGCCAAUACCGCCGAACCUUGACGUUACUGACAGAAGAAGCACCGGCUAACUCUGUGCCAGCAGCCGCGGUAAUACAGAGGGUGCAAGCGUUAAGCGGAAUCAGCGGGCGUGAUCCUGGAGUAGUGGGGUGAAAGCCCCGGGCUUAACCUGGGAACUGCAUUCGAUACUACCUGGCUAGAGUAUGGUAGAGGGAAGUGGAAUUUCCGGUGUAGCGGUGAAAUGCGUAGAUAUCGGAAGGAACACCAAUGGCGAAGGCAGCUUCCUGGACUAAUACUGACACUGAGGCACGAAAGCGUGGGUAGCAAACAGGAUUAGAUACCCCAGUAGUC
This 450-nucleotide ribosomal RNA is filed under the name uncultured bacterium. Its description in RNAcentral is "partial 16S ribosomal RNA". It matches the Rfam family "Bacterial small subunit ribosomal RNA", at positions 338 to 795 of the family's 1533-position model. The record is from RNAcentral.